GCCUGGCUGGCUCAGUAGGUAGAGUGUAUGACUGUUGAUUUCAAGGUUGUAAGUUUGAGCCCUAUGUUGGGUG
RNAcentral lists this transfer RNA (73 nucleotides) under Felis catus (domestic cat). It matches the Rfam family "tRNA". From Rfam's summary of the family: Transfer RNA (tRNA) molecules are approximately 80 nucleotides in length. Their secondary structure includes four short double-helical elements and three loops (D, anti-codon, and T loops). RNAcentral also lists the same sequence under 3 other names. Lineage: Eukaryota; Metazoa; Chordata; Mammalia; Carnivora; Felidae. The record is from Rfam by way of RNAcentral.